RNAcentral lists this ribosomal RNA (428 nucleotides) under uncultured bacterium. RNAcentral describes it as "bacterial SSU rRNA". It matches the Rfam family "Bacterial small subunit ribosomal RNA", at positions 30 to 440 of the family's 1533-position model. The record is from RNAcentral.
AUUGAACGCUGGCGGCGUGCCUAACACAUGCAAGUCGAGCGGUAACAGGUGUAGCAAUACAUGCUGACGAGCGGCGAACGGGUGAGUAAUGCUUUGGAAUCUUCCCAGUAGUGGGGAAUAACCAGUCGAAAGAUUGGCUAAUACCGCAUACGUCUGUAAAGGGAAAGCGGGGGACUCGCCUCUUCUUCGGAAGAGAGGCCUCGCGCUAUUGGAUGAGCCAAAGCGGAUUAGCUAGUUGGUGGGGUAAUGGCCUACCAAGGCGACAAUCCGUAGCUGGUCUGAGAGGACGACCAGCCACACCGGGAACUGAGACACGGUCCGGACUCCUACGGGAGGCAGCAGUGGGGAAUAUUGGACAAUGGGGGAAACCCUGAUCCAGCGACGCCGCGUGUGUGAAGAAGGCCUGCGGGUUGUAAAGCACUUUUAGU